RNAcentral lists this non-coding RNA (767 nucleotides) under Oulema melanopus. Lineage: Eukaryota; Metazoa; Arthropoda; Insecta; Coleoptera; Chrysomelidae. The record is from RNAcentral.
AAUAGGUUUUAUCUUAGCUAAAAAUUGGGCAUUUUGACACCUUACAUGUAAAUUUUUGUAUGAUUAAUUUUAAAUUUUAAAAAUUUAAUUUAAAUUUUACAGUAAAUAAUUUUAAUAAAUUUAAUGAUUUAAGAAUUAGUGAUUAAAAAUAAUAUUAGCGAAGUUUGUGCCAGCAGCUGCGGUUAGACAAACAAUAUAAUUUAAUUUUUUUAAUAAAAAUAAAUUUGUUAUUUAAAUUUUAUUAUUAAUAUUAUUAAGUGAAAUUUUAAUAUUUAAAUAAAAUUAAUUAUUUUAAGUUGAUUUUGUAAAUUUAAUUAUUAAACUAGGAUUAGAUACCCUAUUAUUUUAAAUGUAAUUUUGAAUAUUAAAUUAGUAUUAGGUAUGUUCUUGAAAAUUAAAAGAUUUGGCGGUAUUUUAGACUAUUCAGAGGAACUUGUCCUGUAAUUGAUAAUCCACGAUUUAAGUUACUUUCUUUUUUAGUUUAUAUAUCGUUGUUAUUGAAAAUUUUAAAAAAAUAUAAUUUUCAAGAUUUUUAAUUAGAUAAUAAGUCAGAUCAAGAUGUAGUUUAUAGGAAAGUAGAGAUGAGUUACAAUAUAAAAAAUAAGAAUAUUUAUUAUUAUAAUAAAUUGAAUAUGGAUUUGAAAGUAAUUUAAAUAAAUUUAUUUAAAUGAUUAAGCUCUAAAAUAUGUACAUAUCGCCCGUCGCUUUCAUUAUAAAAUGAAAUAAGUCGUAACAAAGUAGAUUUAUUGGAAAAUGAAUCUAGAAUA